Oxyura jamaicensis (ruddy duck) is the source of this 3056-nucleotide RNA transcript. It is a transcript of the gene named sphingolipid transporter 2, with no coding region annotated. The record is from RefSeq and is a predicted model, not a curated record. The transcript has 14 exons. Lineage: Eukaryota; Metazoa; Chordata; Aves; Anseriformes; Anatidae.
GGCAGGGGCUGGGGCUGGGGCGGCCGCGGGAUGCGGCGCUGAGGCGGCGGAGGCUCGGCGGCGGCGGCGGCUCCGCGCUGGAGGCUCCGCGGCGCUGCCUCCCGCAGCCCCAUGAUGUGCCUGGAAAGCGACGGCUCCUCCGGCAGCAGCCCGGCUUGCGGCGGGCGGCUCCGAGCCGGUGACGAGGAAGAGGAGGAGGAGGAGGAAGAGGAGGAAGAAGAGGGCGAGCGAGGCUGCUGCGGCCGGGGAGCGGAGGGCGAGGUGCAGACGCUGUCGGGCAGCAUGAACCCGCCGCCCGAGCGCCCCGCAGCCCGUCGCAAGGCACCGAGCCUCGGCCGGGCACGCGUGGCGGCCGCCGGCAUCCUCAGCGUGGGCAACGUGCUCAACUACCUGGACCGGUACACGGUGGCAGGUGUGUUACUAGACAUCCAGCAGCACUUUGGAGUCAAAGACAGUGGGGCUGGCUUGCUACAGACAGUUUUCAUCUGCAGUUUCAUGGUUGCAGCGCCCAUCUUCGGUUACCUUGGGGACCGUUUCAACAGAAAGAUCAUCCUCAGCUGUGGGAUCUUCUUCUGGUCAGCUGUCACUUUUUCCAGCUCCUUCAUCACUGAACAGUAUUUCUGGCUUCUUGUGCUCUCACGAGGUUUGGUUGGCAUCGGUGAAGCAAGUUACUCCACUAUUGCUCCAACCAUCAUCGGAGACCUUUUCACCAAAAACACAAGGACCCUUAUGCUGUCUGUUUUCUACUUUGCAAUUCCUCUUGGCAGUGGCUUGGGAUACAUCACUGGAUCAAGUGUGAAGCAGGUUGCUGGAGACUGGCACUGGGCAUUGCGGGUAUCUCCACUCCUAGGAAUGAUAACAGGGACACUCAUCUUGAUAUUUGUGCCCGCUGCUAAAAGAGGAAACGUUGAACAACUUGGGGGACAGCUGAAGGCUCGGACCUCAUGGCUGAGAGACAUGAAGGCACUGAUAAGAAACCGCAGCUACGUGUUCUCCUCACUGGCCACCUCAGCUGUCUCUUUUGCCACUGGGGCGCUCGGCAUGUGGAUCCCUCUCUACCUUCACAGAGCGCAAGUUGUGCAGAAGACUGCAGAGACGUGCAGCUCACAGCCCUGUGGCACCAAAGAUAGCUUGAUCUUUGGAGCAAUCACAUGCUUCACCGGUUUCCUGGGUGUUAUCACAGGAGCUGGGGCAACCAAAUGGUGCCGCUUAAAAACCCAGCGAGCUGAUCCUCUUGUCUGUGCUGUUGGCAUGCUGGGGUCAGCCAUCUUCAUCUGUUUGAUCUUCGUUGCUGCCAAGAGCAGCAUUGUGGGAGCCUAUAUUUGCAUUUUUAUUGGAGAAACUCUUCUGUUUUCAAACUGGGCUAUCACAGCAGACAUACUAAUGUAUGUGGUCAUCCCAACGCGCCGCGCAACCGCAGUGGCCUUGCAGAGCUUCACUUCGCACCUCCUGGGAGAUGCUGGCAGCCCUUACCUGAUUGGAUUUAUUUCAGACCUGAUACGACAAAGCACAAAGGAGUCCCCGCUCUGGGAGUUCCUCAGCUUGGGGUAUGCACUCAUGCUCUGCCCGUUUGUCGUUGUCCUAGGAGGGAUGUUUUUCCUGGCCACAGCCCUCUUCUUCCUAAGUGACCGAGCCAAAGCUGAACAACAUAAAGAAACCGAUUCGGACCACCUCACGGUUGGCAACUACAGUAAUUCAGAAGACGCUUCCACAUGACAUACACACUCCUGGGGGUGAAUCACCUCGUGAUGCCACCAGCCUCCGUGAAGGUCUGAGACGUUGCCAGUGAAGGAAACCACAUGUGGACUCCAGCUUCCACCACCACAAUCUCCAGCUCAAAGCCCUUCCAUACUGGAACCGGUGGCUCCUUUAGCUCCACGCCGCCCCGGGAGGGUUCUCCAGCACCAAACCCAUUGCAGCGCUCCGCCUGCGGGGCCAGGCAGCAGGAGAUGAGCAGGGCAGCCUGGAACAAACGCUGCUGGAGCGUAAGGACAUUCCCAGGUUCCUCUGAGCAUCGCAAGCAACUCUCCGCCGGCCCCACAGCCCAAGUGAGUGACUGUAGAUUGUGUAUAUGGUUUUAGUUGUAGCCGAUGAAGUCCACACCGUUUAUAGGACAACCUCCGUCCUAGCAAAUGCUGCUGUUCUGCCAGCACUCCUGCACCCAGAGACUGCACUAGUUGGGGACCUGUUCUGUACAUCACCUUUUCUUUAACACUGAAGGCUCAAUUCAGAUUAUUAUUUUUUAUUUAAAUACGUCAUAAGAUGCUUUAUCUCUGCUGAAGACAUAUAUAUAAAUAUAUAUAUUUAGAUAAACAGUUUUUAUUUAAACGUUUGAGAUCUGGAGCUGCCUGUGCAACCCUACCAGCCACGAAUACGUCCACAACUCUCCUCAUCUCAGUGCCCUGCUAUCAGGCCCUGGAGGGGCACCACAGGAAGAGUCCCAGGGGAUGGAUGACUGCCUGUCACCUGAGGCUGAGCAGUGGGACAGAGGAGAGAGUUUUGCUGCACUGGGUAUGCUGGCGGUUGUUACAGAAAGGCCCAGAACUUCUGACAGAAAUACCUAGGGGCUCCAGAUUUUGCUCAAUAUGCUAAAUUCAGCCUUGCCUAGGAGAUUCACAGGUUUUUAAAAUACCAAAAUCCAGCUGGCUGAAUUGCUUUACCUAGGGCCUGGUAGUGCAAUACUGCUGUGCCAGUGACACCACGCUUUGUUUACACGCAUAUCAUGGUCUGUGGAUUGUCAGUGCUAACUCUCCCUUGUCAGUAUUUUCAAAGCAGGUGGCUGAUACUUUAGAGUAGCUGUUCCCUUUGGAACGAUGGUUAGGUGUAACGCAUGUCCAACCCCCAGCAUACUCCCAGCCUACUCUUACUGGGGUGUCAGUUAAUCAUCUAUCUUUAUGAAGAUGUACUUGAGAUCUUUCAUAUACAAGGCCAGUGUCUGAACAAAUGCAGCAGAGUGUGUCUGUAAAGCAGUCAGAGUGCCAUUCCCCAGGAGUCUUAUGUCCUGCACUUGACCACCACAAGCCGAAUUUAUGCUAUGUCAGCCUGAUGCUGCAAGA